AGGACGAACGCUGGCGGCGUGCUUAACACAUGCAAGUGGAGCGACGAACCAGGGCUUGCCCUGGGGCAGAGCCGCGAACGGGUGAGUAACACGUGGGUUACCUGCCUCGAUGACCGGGACAACCCGAGGAAACUCGGGCUAAUACCGGAUGUGCCCGCAAGGGGAAAGGAAGCUUCGGCCUCCGCAUCGAGAUGGGCCCGCGGCCCAUUAGCUUGUUGGUGAGGUAACGGCUCACCAAGGCUUCGAUGGGUAGCUGGUCUGAGAGGACGAUCAGCCACACUGGGACUGAGACACGGCCCAGACUCCUACGGGAGGCAGCAGUGGGGAAUCUUGCGCAAUGCGCGAAAGCGUGACGCAGCAACGCCGCGUGGGGGAAGAAGGCUUUCGGGUUGUAAACCCCUUUCAGUUGGGACGAAGCUUCUCCGGUGAAUAGCCGGAUGGAGUGACGGUACCUUCACAAGAAGCACCGGCUAACUACGCGCCAGGAGCCGCGGU
Molecule: ribosomal RNA, 495 nt
Filed under: uncultured bacterium
Lineage: Bacteria
Description: SSU rRNA
Rfam family: Bacterial small subunit ribosomal RNA
Source: RNAcentral